RNAcentral lists this unclassified non-coding RNA (18 nucleotides) under Mus musculus (house mouse). RNAcentral describes it as "oocyte_clustered_small_RNA2329". The record is from RNAcentral. Lineage: Eukaryota; Metazoa; Chordata; Mammalia; Rodentia; Muridae.
UGUCUGUGGACAGGUUGC